GCUGGCGGCCCCGGCGGCGGCGGCAGGUGUGGAUGGGGCGAAGGUGCGGGAACGUCCACUCCCGCGCGCCCCUCUCGGGGACCAGGGCGGCCUCCCAGGAGGAGCUUGGUGAGCAGCUGCGACCUGUGCAUAACUUGGGGCGCCGCCAGGGGCUCGCAGGUUCCACGUCCGGCGCCUGGAGAAGGAAGACGCGCGUCCCCGGCCGCGGCGCCGAAGCCGGCUGGGGGACCGCCUGGUCCCGGGCCAGAGCUGGGAGGCGGUGUUCCGUGAGCCGCCUGGUCUGGGGUGCGGGGGGCGGGAAGCGGCCCCUUCGUGUGCGCUUGGGCGAGGCCGGGCGGCGCUUCUGUCCUCCUACUCGGACCCGCAGGUUUCUGGUCCUCAUACCGUGUGGUUGAGUGAAAUCAAAACUUCCACGAUAGCAAUGCUGAUUGGACAAAGAAUGUGUUGUGGACACAAAACCAAACUCUGGAGGACAGAGGAUUCAUUCCAAGGGUCUGCUUGUAUUCAAUGACUGGUCUACGUGGGGGUGUGAAGUCCCCUUACUCCACCUGUGAAGAGUCUUCCCAGUUUCAGACCACCCUCCCAGCCUCCUGUUAUUGGCUAAGGCCAUUUUGUGACUACACUGCAGGUAGAGAUGGAUUCCUGGAAAUACCUCCUCAAGGCCAGUGUAGAGCCCUCAAUCACCCACUGCCCCCAGCUUCUCCUUCUCCCAUCUCCUGCACCAAGCAGGUCUCCAGGUGUUCCAGCUGCUGAUGACGUAAAGUGUGGAGUUGGUCCAGGAAGGUCAUGUUCCAUGCAGCAGAGGAGCGCUUUGUGUGAGAAGUUGAAGACCUGCUGUAACACAUCAUAGAGGAAAGACAUAGCCUGGGCCUUCUGCAACUGGCUGACUUCCACCUUCUCCUGGGGGAAUCUGAAGUCACUUCUGUCCUUUAGACACAAGAAGGGAGAGAUUCUCCUCAUUUGGCCCAAAAGCACCAAGGUGUUCCUGCCUAGCAGGCCAUGGUUCUGAGGUAUCAAAGUCUCAACAGCCCUAGAACGCUGAUAACAAAGGUUUGUUUUGUCUAAGUAGGUAAAGGAAUUAUCCAAUUGUAAUCAUUUUAUCUUCAGUAGUUAAAUAAUUUUUAUUUCACCAAGUACAGCUUUUAUUCUUUCUUUAACUCUUUUGCUAUCUUUAAUUCUUUUAAACUAUUAACAGUUUUUAUGCUUAAAAUUUAUGAGCUAUGCACAGGAGAGUCAAAGAUGCUGCUGCCUCUCUUUAGAGGCUCAUAUUACAGAAACUGGCGACCCUCAGUUGUUCACUAGUUCAGUGUGAUCUGUUGAAGUUUCUUACAUCUCUGUCUACAUGAAACUUUGACGGUGCAGGGCAGUGAGCCCCAUGCUAUCACAUUAAAUAGUCAUAGCCAUCUUUCCUUUACUGAUUUGUGAUUCUUCAUUUUAAAUUUAAAGCUCAACAACAAAUGAAUUUUUAGAACACCUUUUUAACAUAGUGGUUUACUGGGCAGUUUGUCUUGCUGCUACCACAUUAUAUUCUAAUUCAUGAUGAAGUAACACAAACAAAGGAAAGUAAAAGAAAGGCAAAAGAGCUACACUGCUUUUCUCUAUAAUUUCCAAAAUUCGUGUUUUUCUUGUUUCUCAUUUAAACUUUUGUAGAAAGUACUACUUGACAGUUGUUUGUAGGGAGAAAGAAAACAGAAGCAAUUCUGAUUGUCAUGAAAUUGAAAUAAGGGGAGUGACUUUCCCCUUACUAACUGCAAAGUGUAAGUUAGCAAACUUCAAUGCAGCAAAAAUUGGGGACUAGAGAGUUUUCGAAGAUCAGCUACUUGACUUUCUUUCACUUAAUCCACAUGUGAUCAGCUCUGGAGAGAAGGCAGAAGUCACACCAACCAACUCCCAAAAGAUUGACAACCAGGCUGCAGUUGCUAGAACACCAACAAUGCUCUCUGGCAGGGUGUUAGACAUUAAGCUUGUCUGAAGACUCUACCUAGUUAAUAAAUCCACCCAGGCAAUGAUAAGAUAGGCUUGAGGAACCUGGAAUUAAUAGAAAUAGAAUUGGAUGAUCCCAAAAGUUUCUAUUUUAAUCUGGAUGAUGAUAAUAAUAAUACUAAUAUUAAAAAUGAUAACACCAACAUUUAUUGCAUGCCUAAUAGGAACCAUCCACUGUUUUAAGAUUUUCUUUUUUGAGACAGGGUCUUACUGUGUCACCUAGGCUGCAGUACAGUGGUGCGAUCACGGUUCACUGCAAUCUGACCUUCUGGGCUCAAGCAGUCCUUUUACCUCAGUCUCUUGAGUAACUGGGACCACAAGCAUGCACGACCAUGCUUGGCUAAUUUUUCAAAUUUUUUGUAGAGACAGGGUUUCAACAUGUGCCCAGCCUGGUCUGGUGCUCCUGGGCUCAAGCGAUCAUCCUGCCUCAGUGUUCCAAAGUGCUGGGAUUACAGGCAUCAGCCACCAUGCCAGGCUGUUUUAAGAUAUUUUUAAAAUACUAACUCUGUCUUCUCAGUAACACUAUUUGGAUUACACCCUUUUAUACAACUGUUUGGAGAGAAAUAUAAAUCUGGAGGGAUGAACUAUUCUGACCACACCAAUUGUGCAAGGUGAAAACUUUAGGGAGAAUCAAUAUAAUGGCUUUUCUGGAAGGGUCCUUUAAAGGAAGUGGGGGAUAGAUAUGAACAUAGAAAGUAAAGAAGAGGACAUCAAAUCAAUGGAGCAGGGAGAGUGAGAUGACUAGGAUUCUGAGAUGCAUUUUGAAUGUCAAAUGGUUGCUGUCUAUUGCUUUACAGAGCAACAGGGGGUGUAGUGUAAAUGAAUUGAACUGACUGCCUUAAGUUCAGUGGAAAAGUAGAUGAAAUACAUUCCUUUUUUUUUUUUUUUUUUUUUUUUUUGAGAGAGAGUCUUGCUUUGUCACCCAAACUGGAGUGCAGUGGCGCAAUUUCAGCUAACUGCAACCUCCACCUCCUGGGUUCAAGUGAUUCUCGUGCCUUAGCCUCUGGAGUAGCUGGGACUAUCAGUGCACACCACUAUGCCCGGCUAACUUUUGUAUUUCUAGUAAAGACAGGGCUUCACCAUGUUGGCCAGGCUGGUCUUGAACCCCUGGCCCUAAAUGAUCCGCCUGCCUCAGCCUCCCAAAGUGCCAGGAUUACAGGUGUGAGCCUCUGCACCCAGCCAAUGAAAUAUCUUUUAAGUAGUAAAAUGAAGUAGAUUUGUCUGCCAAUUAAAAAAAUAAAUCAUAACAUUUAAUUAGUGAUUUCUUCAAAAAUAUACUAAAACAACUCUAUUAACCUAUCAACUGCAAACUCCUAGAAGCCAAUUUAUUUUUUACUCUUGAGUUUUCUUGUGUAUUUAAGAAUAAAGAGAAAACAACUAAUAAUUUCUGGGACAGCCCAGCCAUAUGGACUCUGACUUUCUCCUCCUUCAGGACUCACAGGUCAGCCUGCUGCUCUUAUUGCCAAGGAGAAGGAUAUUUCUAUCCCCAGCCCAUUCAGGACUUAAUCUUGUGUACUGAUUGUGUCCAGUGAAGAAUCUCUUCCCCUCUUUCUCUUUCGGUCCAUUGGUUGAGUUGUGAGUGCUGAAAAGAUCAUUCAUAUGACCAAGAUUGUGAUGCUUAGAUGUUUAUCCCCAGCAAACAUGUAAACUAUAGAAAUCUCAGUUGUCUCCACCAAACAUCUAAACUGUAUAGCAUCUAAGCAGCCUGAGGCUUUCACCAGAUGCCCAGUCUUCCAGCCAGCAGCAUUGUGAGCCAAAUAAACAUUUUUUUCUUUAUAAAUUACUCAGCCUCAGGUACUCCUUGUUAGUGAAAAGGAACCCAGGUUCAGCUGCUCAUCUCUCGAAAACCAAACUCAAGAGAAGAGAGAUGUUGAGGGGGAAGCAGAUUCAUUAGGAAAGCCUGCAAACUGAGAAGACGGUAGACUAGUAUCUUCAAAUACCAUCUUAAGGCAGUACAAAUUUCAGGCUCUUUUUAUGUUAAGGGCAGGCAGAAGAGGAGGGGGGUCAGGAUAAAUAGGUGACCAUCAAUAGCAGACAACUGGGCACCAGCACAGGACCAAGGAAUUUGAAAAAUUCUUUGUUCUUUGUCAGGUCACAAUGCUCCUAUGAAUCUUUAAGGUAACCUAGUUAGUUGUUUACAUUCUUCUCCUUUAAUCCCAGAGUUAGUUUUAAAAAUUACAUGAUUGCUGUUUUUGCACAUUAUCUCUGCUCUAAAAUCAUCCCAACCUACGUGCAAGAAUGGGUGUAGGCCCCGUAAACAAAAUGGAGUUAGUUAUGUUAGGUAUUUUGCUGUCUCACUGCUACAAUUGCAACACAAAAUGAAUGCUUUUAAAGGGCUGCUUGCCAAGGAAGAUCUGGCUUUAACUACAGAUUCAGCCACAUUGCUUAGUAUGGUUGUCUUUGGCUGUCUAUGGUUGGCAUUACAAUAGAUGAUAUUUUCCAGUCAUAGUAAUAGAAGGUUUUAUCAAAAAAUAAAUGUUUACAAAGUGAAAAUUGUAAGGAACACCUCUUACAACCAAGCAGUUCCAAAACAAACAGAAACAAAUAUGGUGGGCGCACUGAGCACUUUCAUGCAUUGUUGUGCAUCUAUAUAAGUGUCAUAUGCUUUAUGAAUUUUUGUUUUGCAAUCAUUUGUACUCCUUCAUUCAUUUAUUCAUUUUCCAAUCCACUUAUUCCGUUUCAGGGUCAAGGGUGGCAGGAACCUAUCCUCACAGAUCAGGGUGUAAGGUGGAAAACCCCACUGCACAGGAAGCUAUUUAAUCACAGGGCACAUUCAAACACACACACACACUCACUCACUGAGACUGGAGAAAUUUAGACAAACCAAUUAACUUAACAUGCACAUAUUUGGGAUGCAGGAGGAAACUGAAGUACCUGGAGAAAACUCAUGCAGGCAUGGGGAGAACUCCACACAGACAAGGCCCUGGUGGGCACUCAGUUUCUUCUCUCAUCAGUGUUACAAGGAAAUGACAUAGAAUGAAAUGUCAUUAUUGGGAGGUCUUCCUGUGACCCUUCUGUUCAAGAAUUGUCUUCGUAUUGUUGGUCUUUAAAGGAGGCUGCAUCGUGAGCAGAAUUUAAGAGAUCCCUUGUACUGCAUUGUCCCCAUGAAUAAUUUUCCCUGCACUGUGAUGACUUGCUGGGUUCUAGGGAGAAAUCAAAAGUUUGCAUCUGGGAACGGACUAACCCCCAUCCUUCCCAAUAUUCUGCAGGCUGCUGUGGUGUCAGUGUUACCGAUGCCAUGGACACUGAUGUUGGCCACAGCUCAACAGAACUCUGUGUUCUCAGAAUCCACUUCAUCUUCUCUCCUUCUGAUAAGAAUGAUCUGAACAGUUGACUUAAUGGUGCUCGUUGGUAUUAUUCCAUCUGCUGAGUACCUGACACUGAUGUCUAUGCUUUAAACAUCUCUGUCCUCCUUCCACGUUCUCAGGCUGCUGCUGGCUUUUCCAGCUUAUUCCAGUGCAUGAUGUGUGCUUUCAUUGUUUGAACAAAUGAGAGUCCUGUGCCUGGUGCAGUCUCUUCCUGAAGGAGUCAGAACGUGGAAGCUUCUAAACAGAGUCACAGAUGAGCUCCUGCAUUCUUUAUCAGCUCAAUGGACAUAGAGGUAUAGGCAGGACUCCCUUCAUUUACUGCAUUUUGAUGCCAGACUGGACAUCAGUGGGUCUACACCCCUACAGCUCAUGACUCACCCGGCAGGAAGGGUGGAAGUAAGGCCACACGCACACUCCUGCUUCUGAGGCUUGAAAAACAGGACUAUCUCCAGAGGGUGCUGCAUGGUGAUACCUCGCCAUGUCUCUCUGGGCACCAGGCACUGAUCCCUGCCUCCCCACACCUUUUCUCAGGUGGACUAGAUGUUCCUGGGUGGAGGUGGGCCUGGGAGCAGUAAAACCUGUCUCCUCAGUGGGACGAGGGCAGGGCCAGCGGCCCAGCACUCAGUGCCCCCACCACUCCCCCUGCCUAGGUGCCUCCAAACCUGCUACUGGGUUCCCCAAUACUGUAGAUUAUAUAUAACAAGUUGAAAACUGUGAGAUAUGAAAUGAGAUAUGGCUAUAGAGAUUUUUCAGGGGAGGGUGACAAUAUGAAGCCAAAUCAGAACUUUUACAUAUAAAUAUGGUAAAAAGUAUAAUAUAAAUGUAAGGAAAAAAUUACAUUAAAAUGUAAGCAGUUACCCAAGAAUGGAAGGGGUUCUAAUAUUUGAAAGGCUAAUUAGGCAAUCACAAAAGACAGAACCAAGUGAAUUAAAAAAUGUUGAUGUUGUCCUGACGCUAAACUGGUUCCCUACAAUUGGUGGAGGAGGAAAGGAAAAAUGGUUUAACAUGUAAAUUAGGGCCCUCUAACCCACGAAUAGAAGAGAAACAAUCUAAUGGUUGGGUUUCUAACCUGAGUCAGAGUUGAGAGAUCCCUGCUAAAUUGAAUGCCUGCCUGGCUGCCUGAGCAACUGACCAUGAUUACUUCUUUAAUUGCAAUAUUGCCAAGAUGCCUCUCAAUUCUACCCUGUUGACACCUGUGGCAGUCACUAUAUUCUCUGAAGUUACUUUAUGUUAGUGCUCUCUAAAACUAUUGAAUCCAGAUGGAACUGAUGCAAGCUCAUUCCUUAUUCAAAGGGAAAGUAAGAAUUUUCUCAAUUAUAAAGUCGAGGGGCAUGAUCUGAUAGGAGGAGUAAAUUAGUAAAACUGACAACUUACGCUAAAGAGUUAAUGUACCUUCAAUCAGGACAGUUUUCCUGAUUUCCCUUGAAGUGCCACAGUCAGAUGGGGUGGCUCUCACUUCCACGUGACCUGCAGUAAGUAGAGUGAGGGACGAGUCAGGAGGUCCUGGGAGGCUGCAUAGGCUGGAGGCAAGGGACACCUCCUGCCCCUUUCUCUCCCCAGAGCUGCCCAUUGUCCAAAGAGGACAUGUCCUGCCUGAAGCUGGGAGUAUAUCCCCUCUCUAAGACAUGAAAUUUAAAGAAAUGGGCUCAUUCCAGUGUUUGGGUCAGUUCUUUCCAGGAAAUUUCCUCCUUUUAGCUCUGAAGAAAAAGCUGGUGGAAGGCGACAGACUUAUACAGAGAACAGACUUGCCCACUGUCUCUGGUCUUGGCAGGUAGGUGGCUCUCUCACAGUGUGAAGUUACCCUUGAUACCCCAAAAGCCAAAGAGAUCAGGGAACUCAAGGCAAGGGAGAGCAGAGCUCCAGAUGCAAGAAGGACCCACCCAUGACUCUUGGGGUUCCUGAGGAAGACAGAGGACUCCAUGUAGUGGGGGGGUCUGUGGCACCUUUUUUUUUUUUCAUUCUUCAAGGAAUCCCAGGCUUUCUAGAAGUCUUCUCUACAUCCCUUUAUGUGGUAGCCAGAACUCUGAUGUUUCUGCUUAGUAAUUUUCCAACCACUGACCACUAAAUGCAGAGGCAGGGGCUUGUCGAUGAUAAGAGAGACCUAGAUGGAAGAUUGAAGGUGGCAGAAGGAAGGAGGGACAGAAGUAAAUGGAAGAAAAAGUCUUAGAGGAGCCAGACUGGGUAGGUCUUAAGCUUCCCAAAAAGGCCAAUGAAGUUUUACUCUUUUUUUUUUUUUUUUUUUUAACCGGUAAAAAUCCUGCCUACAAGAAAGGAAGCAAACAGAGGAAUCAAGUUUAUAAUAAAAAAAGUUUAAGUUUACUGAAAAAAAUUCCCAUGGGAUAAACAAGAACCUAAGGAGAAAAUCAGAAAGACUCUUAAAAAAAUGGUAGCCUGGAUAUCAGCUUUAAAUUAAGCUAUUAUUUGACCACAGAGCUCUUUUAAAAAAAUACUUUUAAAUCCCUUAUCAGAUUUCAGCAAGAAAAAACAACCAAUAUUUCUAAUGUUUGAAACUUUCUUUUUUUUCUCUUCUUUUAAAACAACGAUACCUACCAAGCGACUCAGAACCAAAACCAAGUCUUUUGUGACUUAACCAAGGAUACAUGAGACAUCAUUAAAGAAAUGUAAAGAUGCAGCCCUCUCAAAAUUCAGAGCUACCCCCACAAAUAGCCAAAAGAAAGAAAGAUUUAGAUGCCUUGAGAGCUGGCAAUAGGCAAUAUGUAAGCUUUUAAUGGGAGCCUCCAACAUUUGUUUAGCCCCCUUCACACACCAAAGUGUGUCCUGACAGGCAGCAAGCCAAGUUGGGUUCUCAGGACACAAAACAGGAAAAUGACAGCUGUUCGUUGAAGGGAAAGGAUCAAUAACAAAUGAGUCCCUGAAAUCCAAAUUUACAUAAGAGAACAGUUCAAACAAAUGAUCUCCUGCUGACCUGCAUUUGGAAAGUAAGAUAUAAAGAUAAAUUUUUACCUUUAGUUCUUGACCAGAAACUACAGGCAGAGAUUCAGAACUCACCUUGGUAAAAAUUCUUACCUUUAUUUGCCAGCUCUUUAUCAGUUGUCCCAGGACCUCAUCAAUAGGUGAGUCAGGUGCUUCAGACAUCCCAUCUUCAUCAUCAGAACUAUAAGGGCAGAAAUAGUGUGAUCUCUUUCCUUCCUAUCAAAAGGGUCACAGCUGACACGGCUAUAAUAAGGCAGGUUAACAAGCGAGAAGCAUAGCACGUUUAUUUAAUCAUCGUUUUAUAUAACUAUGGAAGCCUUCAAAAUGAAGACCCAAAGUACAGGAAAAAACUAUCCAUUUUUAUGCUUACAUUCCAUGAGGAAUGGGCAGCUGUGCAGAAAUGUGAUUAGACAAAAAGGGCAUCAUCUAAUGCUAAUAUUCUGAGUAGGGGAAACCCAGCAAGGCCUUUCUGGUCAGAUACUUCUUGGCCUCUCCAUGCACCAUUCCUUCCUCUUGGGUAUGUGGCAGAGCUCUUUUUGGAAUGGGGGUCUUAGUAUCUACAAUCAAACAAGGCAGGUCAGAGAAUUUCUUUAUGGCCAGUUCAGUUCUUACACACAAAGGUAAGGGAAAGUUCAAGUAAUGUUUAUAGGUUUUUAUGGCUGGCUUUGGAGAGAAAGGGCUCUGGUUUCUAUUACCAGCCUUGGGAAAGAGAGUUUCUACUUUUUAUGGCUAGCCUCGGGAGAUGAGGGGUGACAAACAGGAGGGCAGGAGAAGGCCAGAGAGAAACUUUGCUUCUGAGGCUGCUUCUUAGAUCUUCACUUUGGCGUAUUAUUUUCCGAGCUUCAAUAGGAGUGAAGAAUGAGAUCCAGAAAAGCUGGGGAAGAAGGAGAGAACUGUGCUGGGUAUUGGAAUCAGCAAAUGAAUAGUAUGUCUAUGUCUAUUUCACUUAGGUUUAAGAAAAUAAACUCUUCCAGAUUUUUCUGUAAGAUACUGUUUCCUGACUGAAUAUACAAAUGAGACUUAUCUUCAGUAUGAAGGGUGACUUAUUUUUCAGUUUUCUCCAGAAUACUCCAAGAAUUCUGCUUUUUAUAUUAUAUGUGUUACAGAGAUUUAGGAGAGUAUUCUCUUUUCUGUUCUUUCUUUCUUUUUUUUUUUUUUUUUUGAUGGAGUCUCGCUCUGUCACCCAGGCUGGAGUGCAGUGGCGCCAUCUCAGUUCACUGCAACCUCUGGCUCCAGGGUUCAAGAGAUUCUCCUGUGUCAGCCUCCCAAAUAGCUGGGAUUACAGGCACCCAUCACCACGCCUGGCUAAUUUUUGUAUUUUUAGUAGGGAUGGGGUUUACAAUGUUGGCCAGGCUGGUGUUGAAUUCCUGAACUCAAGUGAUCCACCCACCUCGGCUUCCAAAGUGCUGGGAUUACAAGCAUGAGCCACGGCACCCAGUCCCUUUUUUAAUGUAUAUAUAUAAAGGAAAUAAUAAUCAUAUAUUUAUAAAAUAAGAAAAUAACUGUAAAUAUACAUAUGUGUGUAUAUAUGUACAUAUAUAUAUCAUAAUGUGUGAUAUACAUAUGUGUGUAUAUAUGUACAUAUAUAUAUAUAUAUCACAAUGUGUGGCCUGAGGGAUACAUGAAGAGACUCCUCUGCAAUUUCAGGCUCUUCCUUGCUGCUAACUCAAGAAUUCACACAGACAUCCUGUUGGAACAUCUCAAUGAAAAUAUAUUGCUGAUUACAAAAAUACACCUCAAAUCAUACCAGAAUUGAUACACUUUGAAUGAAUAAACCUCACUAGCUCUCUGGUAACAAUACUAUUCUUUCACACUCAUUAGCUCUUAUGAGACUUCUCUCUUUUGAUACCAAGGCAGAGUUUUUACUAUUAAGUGGAAGAACUGUCAAGAUCAUAAUUCAAAGUGACAAUGAGAAUAUUAUUUUAUUUGUUAAUGUUUGAAGUCUAAUAAUAGGAAUGAUCUGUGAAACUAAAAUUGUACUAUUAAUAGCUGUUUAAUGCACUAUUAAACACGAACUUGUUCUGGAUACUAUUAAGUUCCAGUCAAGAUUGGUCGGUCUGCCUGUUCCCUGGAGUCCCAUACGUGGUAUGUGGAGAGGGUGAUCCUAGAGGCUGGUAUGCACAGUGGUCUAUAGGCAAGGAAUACAUCUCUCUCUAUAUCCUUAUAACUGUCAGUUCCAAAAAAUGCAUGCCCUGAUGGUAGCCAGAAACUGAUUCUCUUUGUAUUAGACCAAGGGUAAGGAACAGGCUUAUGACAGCAUUAGCAUCUUUUCUUGCCAAGAAGUAUAAUUUUUGCAGCAUAAAGAGAAAUGCCCAGAAGUGAUGGGUUUCUGCAUAGAUCAGAAAUCAGCCCUCCAGUCUUGGUGGCUGCCCUUGUCACCUUUGGUUACCAGGUUGUGAUUCCCUGAGAGGUUUUCAGGAGACUGCACAUAAACUACAUUCUGCUUUCUCUUUCCUUUUCAUUAAGUUACUAUUACAUCAUACUCAGCGGAAAUUCAGGAAAUCCUCUCUUGCAGGUAGUUCUGCAAAACCUAGAAAUUUUAUUUCACUUCUGCUUAGCACUUGUGGCAUUCUGAUCUUUAGGGAAGCCAUCAAGCUGAAACCACAACAGAACAGAAAACAGCUCUGUGUGAAUGGGCAGGAAGGUGAAGGGAGUAAAGCCAGAGAGAGAAUGUGCCAGGUGCCAUAAUCAGUCAAGAAACAUCACAUGUCUUCUGCGCAUCAAUCUGCAUGAUUAUUCUCUUGUCUCAG
RNAcentral lists this long non-coding RNA (10975 nucleotides) under Homo sapiens (human). RNAcentral describes it as "non-protein coding MIR31HG:14". Lineage: Eukaryota; Metazoa; Chordata; Mammalia; Primates; Hominidae. The record is from RNAcentral.